RNAcentral lists this transfer-messenger RNA (354 nucleotides) under Dehalococcoidia. RNAcentral describes it as "GCA-2730555 sp002730555 Standard tmRNA". It matches the Rfam family "transfer-messenger RNA". From Rfam's summary of the family: Bacterial tmRNA, also known as 10Sa RNA or SsrA, is named for its dual tRNA and mRNA-like properties. Its role is to liberate the mRNA from a stalled ribosome. To accomplish this part of the tmRNA is used as a reading frame that ends in a translation stop signal. Lineage: Bacteria; Bacillati; Chloroflexota. RNAcentral also lists the same sequence under 3 other names. The record is from RNAcentral.
GGGGACGCGUGGUUUCGACAGAGAGGUAUCCGCCAGACUGCAAGCCGAGGGCGCCAACUUCCUCGAUAAUCCGCUGGCGCAACAUUAACUGGCGAGAAACAACUCGCUAUGGCCGCCUAAAGACGGCCACGUAGCCCCGGUUCUUACCCUGAGGGGAUCGGUGGCUGCGACGCUUACUCGGGGUGCUGUCCGCCUGACGCCGAUUGGUGCGGACCUAAGAUCAUCGGCUGGCCGCUGAGGUAGCCUGACGGAGAGCGAACUCGGCGGCGAGAUCAUAAAUCGCCGACUAAGCUUGUAGACGUCGAAGCGAAACCCUAGCUGGACGGGGAGUUCGACUCUCCCCCGUCUCCACCA